CGGGGGAUGGGCGAGGGGGAGAAACUGAAGGGAGGGGAAGGAGUGGGACAGACAUUGGCCCAGGUCAGACCCUGAAGUUAGUCCAGAGCCCCAGUGCGGCAUGUUCUGGAUUCUGGGCUCUGGCAUGCAGCAUUCUGGCUUCCUAGCUCUUCCGCCUGGACCCUGACGUGCCGUGUUCUGUGUUCUGAGCUCCCUCCCCGCCAUGACAAGCCUUGUUCUAGGUUCUGUGCUCUCUGCUUCGGGCUUUGGUUCACCACGUUCUAGGCACUGACACGCUGUUGUUUUAUGUUCUGAGCGCCACCUUCUGGUUCCGAGCCUUUUACCCUGGCUCCGCGUGCCGCCUUAUGGGAUCCAAGGCCCCGGGGUCUGGCUUGUUAAGCUCUCUGACUUGCAUUGUUCUAGGUGCUGAGCCCCCCCCCCCCCCCCCCCCCCCCCCCCCCCCCCCCCCCCCCCAGCACUAGCCUCCAUGUUCUAGGUCCAAACCCAUAGACUCCACCCAACUUGCACAUUGUAAGUUCUAAUACUCCCACGUUCUAAGUUCUGAGCCCCCAGUUCUGACACGGCAUGUUCUAGGUCCUAAGCCCCCUCCCGGAUAUGCCGCGUUCUAGGCCCCAGACCCAUUCUCCAGCUCUGACACGCCUCCUUGUAGGUUCUAAGCUUCUAUCCCUGGCUGACUUGCCCAGGCUAAGGCCUCCCACACGCUGACUUAGCACAUCCUAGGUUCUGAGGGCACAGCUCCACCAUGGCAUGUUGUAGAUCCCAAGCCCAUCCCCCUUCUCGUGGCUUCUGACUUGCACGUUCUAAAGUUCUAAUACCCCCAGGUUCUGAAGUGCCACGUGCUAGAUUCUGAGCCCCCCCUCCAUGGGUGCAGACUGGCCUGCGUGUUCUAGCUUCUGCGCCCCUCUCGGUGCCGUGCUCCAGGUUCCAAGUCCCCCUCUUCUGUGUCUCCUUAUCCCUUGGGGCUCUGAGCAGAGCCAGAGAGCGUUUUGGGCGCGGCCCCUGGUUUAACACAGGCCGGGUUCUUUGAGCUGCAGCCAGAGAGGCUUUGACAUAGGGCAGUUGGUGCCAAGUUACAGGAACCCCGUGAAACAGCUGAUUUGGAGCCUCAGCUCUGGUGGUCCAAUGGUUGGCGUACCAAGCCCGCAGCCAGGGAGACUAACAUCCGGCCUCAGACACUCACUAGCUCUGCAACCCUCGAAAAGUUCCUUCACCCUGCUUGCCUCAGUUUCCUCAUUUGUAAAAUGAGCAUGGGAAGGAAAUGGCAAACGGCUCCAUGUCUCUGCCAAGGAAACCCCAAAUGGGGUCACUGAGAGUCAGAGAAGACUGAAAAAUAACUUGGCAACAACAGAAAGCUCAGGAGGAAAGAAACGGGCACCCCCCCCCCCUGCCCCCACAAAGAGUCACCUACUGUUCACCUGUCCAAGCCAGGAGCCCGGCGCUUGAUUUUUUUGUUUUUGUCCCCAAGAGAAGGCCCAUGGCAGGGGAGGUCAGGCAGGGGCGGGAGUGGGAAAAUUAAGUCAGGGCCAGCUGUCCAGCUGUGAGCCGGACGGCAGAAUGAGCCAGGGAUCCAAAGGCAGGGCCUCCAGGCCCCACCGAGAUGCCCACGGCAGAGGGAAGGCCUGGCCUAGACAGCUCCAGGGAGGGGCAGCCUGAGGAAAGGAGGGGCUGGGGAGCACUGGCCCCCAAGGCUUCCCCCUAACCACUUCCCUCUCCCCAAUCUUCCAAAACUUGCAGCCACCAGCGUCCCCUCCCCGUCGGGCUCAGUUCCUGGAGCCGCCGCCCCCUUCCGCCCCCUCUUCAAUGACUUUGGGCCGCCUUCCAUGGGCUACGUGCAGACUAUGAAGCCCCCUGGCUCCCAGGGCUCCCAGAGCACCUACACAGACCUGCUGUCCGUUAUCGAAGAGAUGGGCAAGGAGAUCCGGCCCACCUAUGCCGGCAGCAAGAGCGCCAUGGAGCGGCUGAAGCGAGGCAUCAUCCAUGCCCGGGCACUGGUCAGAGAAUGCCUGGCAGAGACAGAGCGCAACGCCCGCACGUAACGGCGUGCCAUCCCCUCUACCCUAUGGACCUUCCCACCUAUUUGCAUCACCUUUUGGAGCAGAGCCCCUCCCCUCGUGCCCUUCUUCUCUUCCUGACCUCCUCCUGCCCUGUGACCUCCAGCCACACAGGGUGGCGUGGGAGAAGCUGGAUCCAGCACCAGACAAAAGCAGCAGAGCCGACGCCUCGGCCUCGCCGGGCCUUGGAGAGUCCUUGGCCCGGCCCCACCUCCAGCCCGACUCUGUACUGACCUUCGGCCCCCAUCCCUCCCUGUCCCACGCUGGAUCUCCUCUCUCCUCUGCCGGGGGCCUCCCUGGCACCCACCACCUUCCAGCCCUGCCUCUGGGCUGCUCAAGGUGGUGCCUUUUCUCAGCGUCUUUUACUAAAAUGCUCUUUUUCUAUAAAUAAAAGGAGAUUUGGAGUUGUUCUCUGCGGACAUCGCUGGCUGCCUGCGGGCCUUGCGGGGCCGGAGGGGGGCUGGGGACGUUCAGGGAGGGCU
Molecule: long non-coding RNA, 2533 nt
Filed under: Sarcophilus harrisii (Tasmanian devil)
Lineage: Eukaryota; Metazoa; Chordata; Mammalia; Dasyuromorphia; Dasyuridae
Description: lncRNA (ENSSHAG00000030760.1)
Source: RNAcentral